RNAcentral lists this ribosomal RNA (119 nucleotides) under Pteropus alecto (black flying fox). Lineage: Eukaryota; Metazoa; Chordata; Mammalia; Chiroptera; Pteropodidae. The record is from RNAcentral.
GUCUACGGCCAUGCUACCCUGAACAAGCCCGAUCCUGUCUGAUCUUGGAAGCUAAGCAGGGUCGGGUCUGGUUAGUAGUUGGAUGAGAGACCACCUAGGAAGACUACGUGCUGUAGGCA